GGCACUAGGCAAUUAAAAAAAAAAAAGAGAUGUAUGAUCAGAGACAAAAGGAAGACUAAUUAAAGCACAUCCCAUUUCCCUGACUAUUCUUUGCCUUUAAUCAGAUUAAUCUUAAUGAAAACUGUUCAAUGUCUUUAGCACAGUAACAACAAACAGCUCGAUGGGAAGAGGUAUCGGCAGUCAUUCGUUGGAACCCAACACUAAAGCCAGUGCCUUGGGCCUAGCUUUUAAGAGCUCCAGUCCAAACUAUGACGCUGAUGCUUUACUCAGACCUUCUGACUCUAUACUUUGUCUCUGACCAUGGAUAGUAUCUUUCUGACCUUUUGGUUCUUUGAUGGAUCCCUCAUUUCUUUGGCAUGAUAAUUAAUUUAUUCCAAAAG
RNAcentral lists this long non-coding RNA (380 nucleotides) under Bos taurus (domestic cattle). Its description in RNAcentral is "long non-coding RNA NONBTAT013645". Lineage: Eukaryota; Metazoa; Chordata; Mammalia; Artiodactyla; Bovidae. The record is from RNAcentral.